Caenorhabditis elegans is the source of this 180-nucleotide non-coding RNA. NCBI's taxonomy places the organism in Eukaryota, Metazoa, Nematoda, Chromadorea, Rhabditida, Rhabditidae. The record is from Ensembl.
UUCGAUAUUUUUCAGGGCCGCGCGCACGCAGCCCCGAUACGCAAAAAUAAAGCUGUUGGCGAAUCUCAACUCGAGACUGCCACACAGGUCAGCCCGCCCAAAAGUGCAAUGGGUAGGCCUCACCAUGGGGAUUCCGCCUUCUUGAUCGCGAAAUAACCCCCAGCCAGGUAAGUUUGUGAG